RNAcentral lists this long non-coding RNA (601 nucleotides) under Equus asinus (donkey). Its description in RNAcentral is "lncRNA (ENSEASG00005024681.1)". The record is from RNAcentral. Lineage: Eukaryota; Metazoa; Chordata; Mammalia; Perissodactyla; Equidae.
UUUCUCCUCCCACCCCUCAUGAGAAGCCUGAGGGGAUUUUUCUCUAAGAUUUACAGGGAGAACAUCAUCAAGCUCCUGUAGGUAAAUCCCACUCUGUGACAGGGUCCCCUUGAUGUUUUUAUAUCUCAGGCUUGUCUACACUGAGCUUUUAGUAAUUUAUAAAUUACAGCCAGGUUUUCCUACCCCAACACUGAUUCCUGCAGCAGUUUCUACUUGUGAGUCUGCUGGGGGAGAAAUCAACUGUCUGUCUUUUAGAGAACUCAGCAAUUAGCCCUGAGCUAACUGCUGCCAAUCCUCCUCUUUUUGUUGAGGAAGACUAGCCCUGAGCUAACAUCCAUGCCCAUCUUCCUCUACUUUCUAUGUGAGACGGCUACCACAGCAUGGUGUGCCAAGAGGUGCCAUGUCCUCAGCUGGGAUCUGAACCUGCGAAGCUUGGGCCACCAAAGCGGAAUGUGCGAACUUAACUGCUGCGCCACCGGGCGGGCCCCCGGGCUUCUUUUCUUUAACAUUACAUUUAAUAAGAUUUAUCCAUGUCACUGGAUGUAACUAGAAUUUAUUCAAGUUUAUCCAUUACUCUAAUUCACUCCAAUCAGUCUUUUUC